RNAcentral lists this ribosomal RNA (253 nucleotides) under uncultured bacterium. RNAcentral describes it as "partial 16S ribosomal RNA". It matches the Rfam family "Bacterial small subunit ribosomal RNA", at positions 524 to 776 of the family's 1533-position model. The record is from RNAcentral.
UACGAAGGGGGCUAGCGUUGCUCGGAAUCACUGGGCGUAAAGGGUGCGUAGGCGGGUCUUUAAGUCAGGGGUGAAAUCCUGGAGCUCAACUCCAGAACUGCCUUUGAUACUGAAGAUCUUGAGUGCGGGAGAGGUGAGUGGAACUGCGAGUGUAGAGGUGAAAUUCGUAGAUAUUCGCAAGAACACCAGUGGCGAAGGCGGCUCACUGGCCCGAUACUGACGCUGAGGCACGAAAGCUAGGGGAGCAAACAGG